This 419-nucleotide ribosomal RNA is filed under the name uncultured bacterium. RNAcentral's name for it is "bacterial SSU rRNA". It matches the Rfam family "Bacterial small subunit ribosomal RNA", at positions 29 to 409 of the family's 1533-position model. The record is from RNAcentral.
AACGAACGCUGGCGGCGUGGCUAAGGCAUGCAAGUCGUACGGAAUACCUGAGUAGCAAUACGAGGGUAUUUAGUGGCGGACGGGUGAGUAAUGCAUGGGUAACGUGCCUCGGACACAGGGAUAGCGUCGGGCCCGCAAGGGUCCUUUGCGAAAGUGACGGUAAUACCUGAUGACAUCGCGGAAUCGCAUGUUUCUGCGAUCAAAGGUGGGGACCGCAAGGCCUACCAGUCCAAGAUCGGCCCAUGUCCUAUCAGCUAGUUGGUGAGGUAAUGGCUCACCAAGGCUUUGACGGGUAGCCGGCGUGAGAGCGCGACCGGCCACAUCGGAACUGAGACACUGUCCGGACACCUACGGGUGGCUGCAGCAACGAAUAUUCCGCAAUGGGCGCAAGCCUGACGGAGCGACGCCGCGUGAAGGAU